GAUGAAGAACGUAGCGAAAUGCGAUAAGUAAUGCGAAUUGCAGAAUUCAGUGAGUCAUCGAAUCUUUGAACGCACAUUGCGCCCUGUGGUAUUCCGCAGGGCAUGCCUGUUCGAGCGUCAUUUCAACCCUCAAGCCCCGCUUGGUGUUGGGCCCCGCCCGCCGUGGCCGGCCCUAAAGACAGUGGCGGCGCCGCCUGGCCCUCAGCGUAGUACAGCUCUCGCUCCAGGGUCCGGCGGCCGCCUGCCAGAACCCCCCCAACUCUGUGGUUGACCUCGGAUCAGGUAGGGAUACCCGCUGAACUUAAGCAUAUCAAUAGCGGAGGA
This 324-nucleotide unclassified non-coding RNA is filed under the name soil metagenome. RNAcentral's name for it is "partial contains 5.8S ribosomal RNA, internal transcribed spacer 2, and large subunit ribosomal RNA". The stretch from base 1 to 120 matches the Rfam family "5.8S ribosomal RNA", at positions 35 to 154 of the family's 154-position model. The record is from RNAcentral.